GGGGAUGUAGCUCAGUUGGUAGAGUGCUUGAUUUGCAUGCAUAAGGCACUGAGUUCGAUCCUCAACAUCACAU
RNAcentral lists this transfer RNA (73 nucleotides) under Ictidomys tridecemlineatus (thirteen-lined ground squirrel). RNAcentral's name for it is "Spermophilus tridecemlineatus (thirteen-lined ground squirrel) tRNA". It matches the Rfam family "tRNA". From Rfam's summary of the family: Transfer RNA (tRNA) molecules are approximately 80 nucleotides in length. Their secondary structure includes four short double-helical elements and three loops (D, anti-codon, and T loops). Lineage: Eukaryota; Metazoa; Chordata; Mammalia; Rodentia; Sciuridae. The record is from Rfam by way of RNAcentral.